Molecule: non-coding RNA, 146 nt
Organism: Gossypium hirsutum (cotton)
Lineage: Eukaryota; Viridiplantae; Streptophyta; Magnoliopsida; Malvales; Malvaceae
Source: Rfam
UGUUAAAAUUUUCAUUUAUUUUUUACUGUUAAAAACUGGCAUGGUUGAUGGAAUAAUCAGAUAGUUACACAUGACGUGCCAUGUGUACCUCAUGACAACGUACAGAGACUAAUUUUUAACCGUAAAAAUGAAUAAAAAUUUUAAUA